GGCAGCAGUGGGGAAUAUUGGACAAUGGGCGAAAGCCUGAUCCAGCAAUACCGCGUGUGUGAAGAAGGCCUGAGGGUUGUAAAGCACUUUCAAUAGGAAGGAAUACCUAUCGGCGAAUACCCGGUAGACUGACAUUACCUAUACAAGAAGCACCGGCUAACUCCGUGCCAGCAGCCGCGGUAAUA
Molecule: ribosomal RNA, 185 nt
Filed under: uncultured Gammaproteobacteria bacterium
Lineage: Bacteria; Pseudomonadati; Pseudomonadota; Gammaproteobacteria
Description: partial 16S ribosomal RNA
Rfam family: Bacterial small subunit ribosomal RNA
Source: RNAcentral